This 73-nucleotide transfer RNA is filed under the name Agrilus planipennis (emerald ash borer). It matches the Rfam family "tRNA". Rfam says of the family: Transfer RNA (tRNA) molecules are approximately 80 nucleotides in length. Their secondary structure includes four short double-helical elements and three loops (D, anti-codon, and T loops). The record is from Rfam by way of RNAcentral. Lineage: Eukaryota; Metazoa; Arthropoda; Insecta; Coleoptera; Buprestidae.
CCUGUCGUGGCUUAGUGAUAAAAGCAUUGGUAUGUAAAGGCAAAGGUCUCGGGUUCGAUUCCCGACGAGGGUG